UUGACAUACUGCAAUCUAAAUAUCUUUAUUUUUUCUCUCUAGGUUACAUUUCCGGUUCCAGUUAAGAAAAGGGAUGAAAAGUUGCUUUUUAGACAAAAUAAGUCCUUACCCUCAAAGGAAAAUUGCUCCUGAAAUACAAGCAGAAAUCAGUGGACCUCAUCAUGCAUGCUGUUCCUCUGUCUGGACAACUCUUCACACACCUUCCACUCAGUUAACUGCCACUCACCUUUCACAUCUGAACUUACUGCUCAGUCACUUGGGGAGACUGUACCCUCUAAACAAGAUUAUAAUUUCCUGCCACCUGCCAUCAGACCCCACUGAAUUCUGCCUGUCACACAACAUAUUCAUCACAGUCGAAGAGUAUUUACUUGUCUGCCUCCCCUAGAAGACUGUGAAUUCUCUGCCUUGCUCAGCCCUGAACCCCCAAAUCCCCACUGCACAGAAGUGUGAGGCCCACAGAUCUGAGAGGUGAAAUCUGGGAGUUAGUAUGGGAAUACUGGGGUAUAUAGGAGUAAUUCAUCAACAUCCUUUUUCUAUUAAUUCAAGUCAGGCUAAAAUGGAUGAGAAGGAUUUAUGUUUUCCUGGAAUGGAAAAUGAUAGAGGAUAAGAUUAAUUAGCCUGAAUGAAUCAAGAUCGCAUUCAUUAUUAGGGAAGGGUAAGCGAAAACAGACUGUGAGGGCAAGAUGUUUAUGGGAAAUGUUUUCUUAUUCUUAAAAACAAAAACAGAAACAAAAAAAACUGCACUAAAGGGAAAACCAGCCACUCUUAUUCUGUUGGACUCUGUUGUGCCUGGAUAUGGUAUCUGAAACUGUUACUAUAGAUGAAAGUAUCAUAAGUGAGAUAUCAACCAGAUGCCAAGGACUUUCUUCCUGUGCCAUAUGGAGACAAGAAUCCGCUGCCUGCUGACUUCUGAUCCUCCUCCCAGAUUCUCAUCCGUGCCUUUUGGUGUCUGCAAAAGAUUCAAAACUACACAGAGCUAUGUUUGUUCCUACGAAGUUCCACUGGAGGGCGCAAUAUCAUUACUGUUACCAGCUAAUAGAACGUGACCUGUUAGGGCUAACAUGAAUAAUUUACCGCUCAUUUUUAUAAGCUCUCUUAGUAUAGGCCACCCAAGAGAGAAAACAGUUUUGUGCCUUAGAUGAAAGGACAGCACAGGAAAUUAGAAGAAUGGCAACAAUCCUUUUCUUCACCAUCCCCCAGGAGUCCUGGUUGCUUCCUCUGCAAAUCAGUGAUGGCUUAUACAAAGAACAGUAUUAAGGACUCCGCGGCUGGACGCGGUGGGUCACGCCUGUAAUCUCAGCACUUUGGGAGGCCGAGGCGAGUGGAUCACCUGAGGUCAGGAGUUCAAGACCAGCCUGGCCAACAUGGUGAAACCCCGUCUCUACCAAAAAUACAAAAAAUUGCCCCAGGCAUGGUGGCAGACACCUGUAAUCCCAGCUACCUGGGAGGCUGAGGGAGGAGAAUCGCUUGAACCCGGGAGGCGUAGGUUGCACUGAGCCGAGAUCACGCCACUGCACUCCAGCCUGGGCAACAAGAGCAAAACUCCAUCUCAGAAAACAAACAAACAAACAAACAAACAAAUAAAUAAAUAAAUAAAUAUUCUGCUAACCUGUGGUUGGUCUGUUUGGGUCCCUGUGUAUUCUUUCCUAGGAAAAGCAUGAGGAUUAGGGUUGGGCCAUAGGACCUCAUUCCUCUAAGAGUAAUGGAACACUAGCUGCAGCAGCUCUGGUCUGUAGCAAGGGUUCAGAACUUGUCCAUGACAAGGUCUGAAAACCCGUCUUUCAAGACAAGCCAGGCUUGGUCCGUGGCUCUUCCUGCCCAUACAUUAUUAUCAUCUGCCAAAUACAACAUAGUAAUUGCUCAGGGGACAACUUCCAGGAAAACACAGCUGCGAAUCUCUCUGAUAUUUCAUAGUACUUCACCACUAGAGAGUCCCAGAAGUGAAAGCUCUGAGGCAGGC
Molecule: long non-coding RNA, 1960 nt
Organism: Papio anubis (olive baboon)
Lineage: Eukaryota; Metazoa; Chordata; Mammalia; Primates; Cercopithecidae
Source: Ensembl